GAGGUUUAUUCGUUUGUUUAGGUCCUGCUAAGUCCCAAAACCUGUAGUUCAAUUCUAUAGAAACCUCG
RNAcentral lists this transfer RNA (68 nucleotides) under Archaster typicus. RNAcentral describes it as "tRNA-Ser". Lineage: Eukaryota; Metazoa; Echinodermata; Asteroidea; Valvatida; Archasteridae. The record is from RNAcentral.